This 395-nucleotide long non-coding RNA is filed under the name Pan troglodytes (chimpanzee). RNAcentral describes it as "lincRNA". Lineage: Eukaryota; Metazoa; Chordata; Mammalia; Primates; Hominidae. The record is from RNAcentral.
CUGAGCCCCGGGGUCCGUUGGCUGCCAGUGGCCCACUCUGAUCUGCGGUCCCCAGUUGCCGCCAGCCCCCCACGGCCCGCACGGAAAUCUUUCUACCGUUUUUCAGCUUCCAGGCUCUCCUGAAAGUGCUCACAAGGCAAAUCGCCAUGGAAAGCAAGUUCAAGUGGCCUUUUAAAGUAGACCAACUAAGCGAAUGGCUUUAUCUCCGAAGACACAGGGACCUUGGGCAGCCAGUCAGGGACACACCCUGAAGUGUUUACACUGUUCUGGGUCUGCUUUUUUAGGGGUUUUUGUUUUGCAGAUUCUGUGUUAUGCCUGGUUAGGUCUGAGCUUCAGACCUUCUGAACCGGAGCAGGAAGAAAAAUAAAAGCUUUCCUCCAAACCCCAAGACCAAA